This is a non-coding RNA of Podarcis lilfordi (Lilford's wall lizard), 72 nucleotides long. Lineage: Eukaryota; Metazoa; Chordata; Lepidosauria; Squamata; Lacertidae. The record is from the annotation of a GenBank genome assembly.
GGGGUUGUAGCUCAGUGGUUGAGCAUCUGCUUUGCACAGAGCAGGACCCAGGUUCAAUCCAUGAUGUCUCCA